CAGCAGCCACGGGAAUACGUAGGGUGCAAGCGUUAAUCGGAAUUACUGGGCGUAAAGCGUGCGCAGGCGGUUUGUUAAGACAGAUGUGAAAUCCCCGGGCUCAACCUGGGAACUGCAUUUGUGACUGGCAGGCUAGAGUAUGGCAGAGGGGGGUGGAAUUCCGCAUGUAGCAGUGAAAUGCGUAGAUAUGCGGAGGAACACCGAUGGCGAAGGCAAUCCCCUGGGCCUGCACUGACGCUCAUGCACGAAAGCGUGGGGAGCAAACAGGAUUAGAUACCCCAGUAGUCCCUGUCUCUUAUAC
RNAcentral lists this ribosomal RNA (301 nucleotides) under uncultured bacterium. RNAcentral's name for it is "partial 16S ribosomal RNA". It matches the Rfam family "Bacterial small subunit ribosomal RNA", at positions 509 to 807 of the family's 1533-position model. The record is from RNAcentral.